UAGCGUCCCUAUAACACAAACACGAGCAUCCAACUCUUUGUUUCCACGUUUUUCUCCGAUUCUCCGAUCUCAGAGAUCAGUUUCGAGAAGAAGGCUCUCACUCGUCAGAGCUAGCAUUCGUCCAGAGAAAAUUCGUGUCGUUCACGUUACCUCACUCACUUAAAUUUGCUUAUGCGAAAUUGAAGCUGUUGCUUGGUUUCAGAGAAAAUUCGUGUCGUCCAGGCUGCUAUCAGUUACAUGGUUGGAGUUCUUUUCAGGAUGAAAGGAGGAUAUUGUGAUUUUACAAAUUACUGCAGCCUUUCAUCU
Tripterygium wilfordii is the source of this 306-nucleotide long non-coding RNA. RefSeq lists it as uncharacterized. NCBI's taxonomy places the organism in Eukaryota, Viridiplantae, Streptophyta, Magnoliopsida, Celastrales, Celastraceae. The transcript is spliced from 4 exons. The record is from RefSeq and is a predicted model, not a curated record.